CCCCAAUGUCUCUUGUCAGGACUCCUCUCUCAUCUCACGGGGGCUGUCUGUUACAGUGUUGGGAAAUUGAAUACACCACGCAACUGUCGUUGAAGGUCUUCUUCGCGACUGAUGGGUGCCGUUUUGGUUACUAUCGAGCUGGUUCGUGCGUCUGAAGAGUUGAAAUUUUCACGGGUCCUUUGCGGCCACUUACAUACUGGAAAUCUCUUAGUGAAGACGCACACAAUU
RNAcentral lists this small nucleolar RNA (228 nucleotides) under Claviceps purpurea 20.1. RNAcentral's name for it is "Small nucleolar RNA snR191". It matches the Rfam family "Small nucleolar RNA snR191". The record is from Rfam by way of RNAcentral. Lineage: Eukaryota; Fungi; Ascomycota; Sordariomycetes; Hypocreales; Clavicipitaceae.